GGGUCUAUCCAUUGGUCGGGCUUUACGGUCCGUACUGGUUCGAUGGGUUCCUACCUUCUGAAUAACCGGCAUGCCAUUCAGUUGGUGCGCCGGGGAAGCAGAGCUAUUACCUUGAAAAAAUUAGAGUGCAUAAAGCAGGCUAUUGCUUGAAUAGAUUAGCAUGGAAUAAUAAAAUAGGACGGCAUGGUUCUAUUUUGUUGGUUUCUAGAAUCACCGUA
RNAcentral lists this ribosomal RNA (218 nucleotides) under Glomeromycotina sp. Its description in RNAcentral is "partial small subunit ribosomal RNA". The stretch from base 93 to 218 matches the Rfam family "Eukaryotic small subunit ribosomal RNA", at positions 738 to 864 of the family's 1831-position model. The record is from RNAcentral. Lineage: Eukaryota; Fungi; Glomeromycota.